This 773-nucleotide long non-coding RNA is filed under the name Nicotiana benthamiana. Its description in RNAcentral is "long non-coding RNA (NBEN_LNC016321)". The record is from RNAcentral. Lineage: Eukaryota; Viridiplantae; Streptophyta; Magnoliopsida; Solanales; Solanaceae.
UUUUGUAUAACAUUUUCAUUUUCUCUCUAAGAACUUCCAGAGAGUUCUCGGAAGAACUCAUCUUCUCUCAUCUUCAUCUUUGUUUUUGUUUGCUAUGUUUUUAUUGUAUCAUAGCGGACGAUCAUCAGAUGAUUCUCUACUAUAUCUUGUUAUCCCGGUCGAAAUCGUGUUGGAAAGUAUUCGGGUAUUUGUGAGAUAUUCGGUCAGUGAUGAUCUCGAUAUGAAUCGAGUGUUAAUCUGAGACUUCUUUCACCAUUAUCGGGUUGCAUCUUCACAUCUUGGACAUUUUGGGUUGGUUUUCCAACGUCCUCGACUCGAUUCCGGUGAGACUUCAGAUUUUAGGGUUUCUGCUGCUCGGAACUGGCAUUUUUCUGUUAAUCGAAGGCCGUUCUUCUCCGGUCGUGAAGAAGGAGGGUAAAUUUGUUCCUAUUUUAGGUGCUCUAUGAUUUGCAUGAGUCUUUUGAUACAACUUUAGUUUUUCAAACUGAUUACAGAGACUAUCUUUUGAUUUUAAACUCAUUGUUGUUCAUGGCUGCUAACAUGAGUGCUAAUACAACUCCUGUUGACCCUACCUCAAACUGAUUACAGAGGUUAUCUUUUGAUUUUAAACUCUUGUUAUUCAUGGCUACUAACAUGAGUGCUAAUACAACUCCUGUUGACCCUACCAGUCCCCUUUUUGUUUACUCCUCUGAUGUUCCUGGUAUUUCUCUUGUGUCCACUCCCUUCUCGGGUAGUGGUUAUGGGGGUUGGAGGAGGAAAAUGAUAGUAGCGUU